This 367-nucleotide transfer-messenger RNA is filed under the name Bacteroidota bacterium. RNAcentral's name for it is "Bacteroidetes bacterium (hydrothermal vent metagenome) transfer-messenger RNA". It matches the Rfam family "transfer-messenger RNA". Rfam says of the family: Bacterial tmRNA, also known as 10Sa RNA or SsrA, is named for its dual tRNA and mRNA-like properties. Its role is to liberate the mRNA from a stalled ribosome. The record is from RNAcentral. Lineage: Bacteria; Pseudomonadati; Bacteroidota.
GGGGGUGACUGGCAUCGACGGGUUGUGUGGAAGUGCGUGUGCAUGUGGCGCGUUGUAGGUGUUGCGCUUAAAAGCGAACCUUCAAACAACAAUUGGCAAUAACUCUUUUGCUCUCGCAGCUUAAUUAGAUUAAGACUGUAAGACGUCUCUCGGAAUGGAAUGCCUACCGGCUGUUCCUAUGAGGCGCUCGCCCCAGGUAGGAUCGGAACGUGACGCCUUUUAUCGUUCCUAAAAAUUAAAGGCUUCUUCGCUUAGGUAAUCCCUGUCUGUCGGGUGCCUGAGUGAGAACUUAAAGACAAGACUAUGCAUGUAGAGCAUUCAUCUAAACCUUCUCCGGACGCGGGUUCGAAUCCCGCCACCUCCACCA